AUCCCAUGCUGUGGGCACUUUCGCAGUAUAUUUUUGAACCUAUUCCAAGCUUCAUCGAAUUCUCCUAGUCGCGUUGGCGGAAGACAAAAAUGUCGUGUUUGAGCUU
This 106-nucleotide small nucleolar RNA is filed under the name Olea europaea subsp. europaea. RNAcentral's name for it is "Plant small nucleolar RNA R71". It matches the Rfam family "Plant small nucleolar RNA R71". Rfam says of the family: R71 is a member of the C/D box family of snoRNAs containing the C (UGAUGA) and D (CUGA) box motifs. Multiple nearly identical copies of this snoRNA have been identified in Arabidopsis, and it is thought to function as a 2'-O-ribose methylation guide for 18S ribosomal RNA. Lineage: Eukaryota; Viridiplantae; Streptophyta; Magnoliopsida; Lamiales; Oleaceae. The record is from Rfam by way of RNAcentral.